This 455-nucleotide ribosomal RNA is filed under the name uncultured microorganism. RNAcentral describes it as "bacterial SSU rRNA". It matches the Rfam family "Bacterial small subunit ribosomal RNA", at positions 9 to 461 of the family's 1533-position model. The record is from RNAcentral.
GAGUUUGAUCGUGGCUCAGAUUGAACGCUGGCGGCAUGCCUUACACAUGCAAGUCGAACGGCAGCAUGAUCUAGCUUGCUAGAUUGAUGGCGAGUGGCGAACGGGUGAGUAAUACAUCGGAACGUGCCCUGUAGUGGGGGAUAACUAGUCGAAAGAUUAGCUAAUACCGCAUACGACCUGAGGGUGAAAGUGGGGGACCGCAAGGCCUCAUGCUAUAGGAGCGGCCGAUGUCUGAUUAGCUAGUUGGUGGGGUAAAGGCCCACCAAGGCGACGAUCAGUAGCUGGUCUGAGAGGACGAUCAGCCACACUGGGACUGAGACACGGCCCAGACUCCUACGGGAGGCAGCAGUGGGGAAUUUGGACAAUGGGCGAAAGCCUGAUCCAGCAAUGCCGCGUGUGUGAAGAAGGCCUCGGUUGUAAGUACGACUUUGUUCCGGUAACGAAAGUAGGACGUC